GUGCUAGGGUUGGAUAGAACUCAGAAGUUAAGCGUGCUCGGGCUGGAGUAGUGUGAGGAUGGGUGACCUUUCGGGGAGUUUGACCAUGGAGUGCGAUUUGACUUGAGAUUAAGCAUAGUGACCCCAGAUUAAGAAAAAAGGAAAAUUAAAAUUGUGAAAAAAAUAAUUUGAAAACAAUUUGUUAGUAAUGGCGGACACGCGCACUGUUGGACAUAGUAACAG
RNAcentral lists this long non-coding RNA (222 nucleotides) under Hordeum vulgare. Its description in RNAcentral is "long non-coding RNA (HVUL_LNC019477)". The record is from RNAcentral. Lineage: Eukaryota; Viridiplantae; Streptophyta; Magnoliopsida; Poales; Poaceae.